GCCAUGGUGGUUCUGUGGUAGAAUUCUUGCCUCCCAUGCAGGAGACCUGGGUUUGAUUCCCAGCCAAUGCA
Molecule: transfer RNA, 71 nt
Filed under: Loxodonta africana (African savanna elephant)
Lineage: Eukaryota; Metazoa; Chordata; Mammalia; Proboscidea; Elephantidae
Rfam family: tRNA
About the family: Transfer RNA (tRNA) molecules are approximately 80 nucleotides in length.
Source: Rfam by way of RNAcentral